GACGAACGCUGGCGGCGUGCCUAAUACAUGCAAGUCGUACGCUGAAGCUUGGUGCUUGCACCGAGCGGAUGAGUUGCGAACGGGUGAGUAACGCGUAGGUAACCUGCCUGGUAGCGGGGGAUAACUAUUGGAAACGAUAGCUAAUACCGCAUAAGAGUAGAUGUUGCAUGACAUUUGCUUAAAAGGUGCAAUUGCAUCACUACCAGAUGGACCUGCGUUGUAUUAGCUAGUUGGUGAGGUAACGGCUCACCAAGGCGACGAUACAUAGCCGAGCUGAGAGGGGGAGCGGCCACACUGGGACUGUGACACAGCCCAGACUCCUACGGGGGGCAGCAGUAGGGGAACUUCGGGAAAGGGCGGAAGACUGACCGAGAAACGCCGCGUGAGUGAAAAAGGGUUUCGGGUCGUGAAACGCUGUUUUAAGGGAAGAAAGAGGGUGAGGGUGGAAAGUUCACACUGUGACGGUAACUGAACAGAAAGGGACGGCUAACUACGUG
This 497-nucleotide ribosomal RNA is filed under the name uncultured bacterium. RNAcentral's name for it is "partial 16S ribosomal RNA". It matches the Rfam family "Bacterial small subunit ribosomal RNA", at positions 28 to 507 of the family's 1533-position model. The record is from RNAcentral.